AAGGAAAUGACUGUCCCGCCCAACUAAGGGGGUUCCUUAACAGGAAAGGACGGUCCCUCCCCACUCAGGGGGUUCCUUACAAGGAAAUGACUGUCCUGCCCAACUAAGGGGGUUCCUUAACAGGAAAGGAAGGUACCUCCCCACACAGGGGCUUCCUUAAAGGGAAAGGACAGUCCCACCCCACUCAGGGGGUUCCUUACAAGGAAAUAACGGUCCCGCCCAACUCAGGGGCUUCCUAAAAGGAAAGGACGGUCCCUCCCCACUCAGGGGGUUCCUUACAAGGAAAUAACUGUCCCGCCCAACUCAGGGGGUUCCUUAACAGGAAAGGACGGUCCCUCCACACUCAGGUGCUUCCUUACAAGGAAAUAACUGUCCCGCCCAACUAAGGGGGUUCCUUAACAGGAAAGGAAGGUAUCUCCCCACACAGGGGCUUCCUUAAAGGGAAAGGACAGUCCCUCCCCACUCAGGGGGUUCC
Sarcophilus harrisii (Tasmanian devil) is the source of this 475-nucleotide long non-coding RNA. RefSeq lists it as uncharacterized. The record is from RefSeq and is a predicted model, not a curated record. The transcript has 2 exons. Lineage: Eukaryota; Metazoa; Chordata; Mammalia; Dasyuromorphia; Dasyuridae.